RNAcentral lists this ribosomal RNA (478 nucleotides) under uncultured bacterium. RNAcentral describes it as "partial 16S ribosomal RNA". It matches the Rfam family "Bacterial small subunit ribosomal RNA", at positions 28 to 507 of the family's 1533-position model. The record is from RNAcentral.
GAUGAACGCUGGCGGCGUGCUUAACACAUGCAAGUCGAACGAGAAGUGAAGACGGAAACCUUCGGGCGGAAGGCUUUAUUUCGAGUGGCGGACGGGUGAGUAACGCGUGGGUAACCUGCCUCAUACAGGGGGAUAACAGUUGGAAACGACUGUUAAUACCGCAUAAGACCACAGCACCGCAUGGUGCGGGGGUAAAAACUCCGGUGGUAUGAGAUGGACCCGCGUUCGAUUAGCCAGUUGGCGGGGUAACGGCCCACCAAAGCGACGAUCGAUAGCCGAUCUGAGAAGAUGACCGGCCACAUUGGGACUGAGACACGGCCCAAACUCCUACGGGAGGCAGCAGUGGGGAAUAUUGCACAAUGGGGGAAACCCUGAUGCAGCGACGCCGCGUGAGUGAAGAAGUAUUUCGGUAUGUAAAGCUCUAUCAGCAGGGAAGAAAAUGAAGGUACCUGAGUAAGAAGCCCCGGCUAACUACGUG